This 253-nucleotide ribosomal RNA is filed under the name uncultured bacterium. RNAcentral describes it as "partial 16S ribosomal RNA". It matches the Rfam family "Bacterial small subunit ribosomal RNA", at positions 524 to 776 of the family's 1533-position model. The record is from RNAcentral.
AACGUAGGGGGCGAGCGUUAUCCGGAAUUACUGGGCGUAAAGGGCGUCUAGGCGGUGCACUAAGUCCUGCGUGAAAGCUCCCGGCUCAACUGGGAGAGCGCGUGGGGGACUGGUGAGCUAGAGACUCGGAGAGGGGUGUGGAAUUCCCGGUGGAGUGGUGAAAUGCGUUGAGAUCGGGAGGAACACCAGUGGCGAAGGCGGCACCCUGGCCGACGUCUGACGCUGAAGCGCGACAGCGUGGGGAGCAAACGGG